Molecule: long non-coding RNA, 724 nt
Organism: Carassius gibelio (silver crucian carp)
Lineage: Eukaryota; Metazoa; Chordata; Actinopteri; Cypriniformes; Cyprinidae
Exons: 3
Source: RefSeq, a predicted model, not a curated record
UCCAGUCAGAACAUCUUAUGCAAAUACCCAAGCGCAGACGCAAGCCAAUCGAGUGCAUGCAAUACCAGAAAACUAAUGUGAUUGGCUGUCACUAUGAGAAGAGACAAUUUGAGGGAAAGAUUAAAAACAAGGAGGUCUGGGAAUGACUGAAUGGAUCUGACAGCAGUGCGGGAAGGAAGUAAUCACCAGAAUCUCAGAGGAUGUUGACAGUGCAGGCCCAGGAUGAAGAAGAGGAGGAAGAACACGUUUAACAAUUUUCUCAUAAGCUUGCCAUGUGUUAUAAUAAAAACAAUGAACAUGGCUACAAUAAUAUGCUAAAUGUUAUUAAAAGAUUCCAGUUUGCAAGAAGUCUGAGUGUCUGACUCUAAACUAGAGGAACUCUUUCCUGAAGAAGAUCAGGUGCUGAGAAGGAGCCUUGUUCUAAAGCAAAACACUGCAUCAAGCCUCCUGUCCUUCCCUCAGAAGAGCCUGUCUUCUGCUGCUGGGGUAAGAAACACACUCUUCCUCUUCUCUAUCAGCUGUCCUGCACCUAACUCUGCCUCCUCAGCACUGUCUGAAAGAGUCUUCUCCACAGUCAGUAAUCAGAGAUCACAGAUUCUUCUGAGAAAGUCGAUAUGCUCAUUUUCUUAAAAAACUUUGUUUUUUCGGGUGGGACAAAUAAUACAGGAGAGAUGCUAGAAAUCUCUAUAUUUUUCAUUUUUCAUAUCUUUACGCUUUAUGAAUG